This 253-nucleotide ribosomal RNA is filed under the name uncultured bacterium. Its description in RNAcentral is "partial 16S ribosomal RNA". It matches the Rfam family "Bacterial small subunit ribosomal RNA", at positions 524 to 776 of the family's 1533-position model. The record is from RNAcentral.
UACGUAGGGUGCAGGCGUUAAUCGGAAUUACUGGGCGUAAAGCGUGCGCAGGCGGUUUGCUAAGAGAGAUGUGAAAUCCCCGGGCUUAACCUGGGAACUGCGUUUCUAACUGGCAGGCUUGAGUGUGGCAGAGGGGGGUGGAAUUCCACGUGUAGCAGUGAAAUGCGUAGAGAUGUGGAGGAACACCGAUGGCGAAGGCAGCCCCCUGGGCUAACACUGACGCUCAUGCACGAAAGCGUGGGGGGCAAACAGG